This is a long non-coding RNA of Lolium perenne, 522 nucleotides long. RefSeq lists it as uncharacterized. NCBI's taxonomy places the organism in Eukaryota, Viridiplantae, Streptophyta, Magnoliopsida, Poales, Poaceae. The record is from RefSeq and is a predicted model, not a curated record.
CCAUGAGAGCUUCCCUCUCACUCUCUUCUCCCCUAAUCUUUGAUGAGUCCAGCUCACUUUCUCCUUUCUCCUCUCACUAGAUUGGAUCUUGAUGCAGGUGCAUGUUGGUCCAAGCAUGGAGAAGGUUGAGCUAUCCUCAGAUCUGAAGUUCUUGAGCAAAAUCCAAAUCGAGUGAUUCAAAGUUCCGCAGAUAGGUAUUGAAAAGAUCUACAACUUGGCAUUGGUCUCAUCCUCAAAUACGUUACGGAUUUUUCAUGAUCAAGAUCUGGUCAGAUCUGAUUUUGUCGAAUUAAACCAGGAGCUUGGAAACGAAUUUUUGAAUGAAACCAAUUGGGGGAUAAUUGGUUUAUACCAUGGUGAUAACCGAGAGAGGCAAUUGCUAAGUUGUGAUGCACUCAUACCUUUACUAGAUACGAACAAUUCCGGAGAAGAAGAAGAAGUGGAAUCGGACAAGGAUUUUAUUUAUAUAUGUUGUUGGGAUUCUUAUAUGGAUGGAGUUGAAGAAGUACAGGGACAAAUAAG